AUAAAAUUUACCCUCUCGAAUAUGCAAAUCCAUUUCUUUUUUGAAUGAGAUUAUAUAUUCAUUGCAUCAUCCAAAAUAAUAUCUGGAGAAUUAUCAUCUCACUCCAGAGAGCCAGACAGAAAAACAACUGAUCGAAUUAACUGAUUUUCUCUAUUGCCUUUCAAUCACAUGCAGUGAAACCAGUUGCGCCGAGAUAUAAUCACACCCUAAUAAAAUCGUACCAUCAUUCAGAGUGAACAGCGAUGAAGACGAACAAAGUCUCAGCAUCAGGCGUGGCAUUGAUAAUUCUUCUCGUUUUAGUCAUUGCUUUGAUGCUAACAUCAGCAGAAGCUCGAACAGGCAGAGGUGGUGGUGGUAGAGGUGGCGGCGGUGGUAGAGGUGGUGGCCGAGGAAGUAGAUAUAGCAAUGGUCGUAUACGUGGGGUUGGUGGUGGUCAUAUUUCCGCCGCCGUCGCCUGGAGCGCUUCCUCCAAGCUUGGGUUAAUGUUAGUAGUUUUCUUUUUCUUGUAGUUGGUUUCAGAGAUGUGUUCAUUUCAUAAUAUCAAAUUUUGAAACGAUAGUAUCCUGAAGAUGGGAUUACUAUUUUUAAUAUUAUUAUUUGUUUUGUUUUAGACGGUAAUGGCACAUGAAAUGUUUUGUGCUGCUUUCAAUAAAGCAGAGAAGUCAAGUAUUGAAUACCAGCUAGCUACAAAUUUAUUUAUCAAGAA
This is a long non-coding RNA of Jatropha curcas, 706 nucleotides long. RefSeq lists it as uncharacterized. The record is from RefSeq and is a predicted model, not a curated record. Lineage: Eukaryota; Viridiplantae; Streptophyta; Magnoliopsida; Malpighiales; Euphorbiaceae.